AGGGCGUCGUACCCAGCACGACAGGUGAAAUCAGAUCCCUGCAUUCAGAGAGCAGAGACAAACUACAGAGAAAUGCUGCAACAAGCAAUGUUCAACUGCUGUUACAAAAUGUCCUUUCCUUGUCUUCAGGCCUCUGCGAGCAAUGACAAGACCACAAGGAGUUACUUACCCAAAAGGCGUCUUUAAACAUCAAAGAAGGCAUCUCAGCUGUCACUUCCUCAGUUUGCCCUUCGCUUGUAAAACUUCUUGCUUUUAAUAAGGAUUUGUGCAUCUGCAAGCUAAAAUCAACAGAUUAAGGCUGUGUAGACGCUCAGCAAGAUAAUCUGUUUUUAAAACCUCCAGUAACCUGAAUGUCAGUGAGUCAUUCUGCGUGAUCUGAACGAGGAAGAGCUGCUGUCCCAUGAUGUCACUGACCACAGACAGCUCAGCCUCCCUUAUGAAGCACAGUUUCUUUUACUAUCAUUUGCUGCAAAAACAAUUCCAUGACACUGUUCAAUUUCAUUGUUAUUAUGUAAAUCUGUGUGUUUUAUCUGUGGCUUCAGUUUCUUUUAGUGAUGCUUUGGGUUGACCAUAAACAGAAAAACUCAUAUGUUAAAAGUGUGGUUUCACUCUACUUGUACUGGAAAUUCAGCGAAUAAGACCUGAUGCCAUACCAUCUGUCCACCGACCUUUUUUAGGAUGAUUGCUCCUGCAUAUCUUUUAUUCUUUCAAAGUUUGUGACUUAGACAGUAACAAAAGUAAAUGUUUUUUUGCAUAUAUUACAGUGGUGCAUCUCGGAUGUCAUUGAAAAGUAUAUUUAUUUCAGUAAUUUAACUGAAAGAUGUGAAACUCAUAUUUUUUGGAGCGAUUACACACAGAGCCAUGUAUUUUAGGCAUUUAUUGUGAAUUGUGAUGACAGAAUUGUGGGUAAAAAUUCCUCCUAAUACUUAAAGACUGACAAAAUGAGUUAAUUUGAAUAAUCAUUAGCCAAAUGAAAACCACCCUUUCAGUUUCUCAGUGUAUUAUGAUAUUACAUCCAGAAAUGUUAUUUUGUGGCCAUGUUAAGGAAAGUGGUUCCCAAGUCCAGUCCUUGAUUGCAACUAUCCUGCGAUUUUUAGAUGUGUCCCUUUUCCAACACACCAGAAUCAAAUGGCUGACUUCCCUCAUCAGCAUGUCCCACAGCUCUGCAGAAUCCUGGAAACAAGCCAUUAAUAGGUAGGUAAGCCACAUAAGGUCAUUGCUAAACAAGCUGGCUGUUCCCAGAGAGGUGCAUUCUAGCAUAAAUGGAGAGAUGAUUGGAAGGAAGUAAAAAGUGCAGUUGAAAAAUGUGAGUAAAUGUGAGUCA
Girardinichthys multiradiatus is the source of this 1324-nucleotide long non-coding RNA. RefSeq lists it as uncharacterized. The record is from RefSeq and is a predicted model, not a curated record. Lineage: Eukaryota; Metazoa; Chordata; Actinopteri; Cyprinodontiformes; Goodeidae. The transcript is spliced from 2 exons.